CAAACAUUCAUUCUCCAACAAUUCCAAUUUGUUUCCUAUUACUAGGACUUCGGUGGCUCCUAUCUCCUAUACUCCUAGCCCUACAUCGACCCUACAUCGACCUCACAUCGACCCUACAUCGACCCUACAUCGACCUCACAUCGACCCCACAUCGACCCCACAUCGACCCCACAUCGACCCCACAUCGACCCUACAUCGACCCCACAUCGACCCCACAUCGACCCUACAUCGACCCUACAUCGACCCUACAUCGACCCUACAUCGACC
Non-coding RNA from Paramuricea clavata, 267 nucleotides. The record is from the annotation of a GenBank genome assembly. NCBI's taxonomy places the organism in Eukaryota, Metazoa, Cnidaria, Anthozoa, Malacalcyonacea, Plexauridae.